Molecule: long non-coding RNA, 2495 nt
Organism: Epinephelus moara (kelp grouper)
Lineage: Eukaryota; Metazoa; Chordata; Actinopteri; Perciformes; Serranidae
Exons: 7
Source: RefSeq, a predicted model, not a curated record
GUCGAUGGACGGGGGGGUUUCAUUAGAGCCAGGGACCACUGUGGAUUUGAUGAUAACAGGAGUGUUGAUGGGAGGUAAUGGCAGCCGUGACGGAGGUGUAACCGUGGAUGGGGACCGGACCGGGCGUGUGUUGCGAAAGAGGCGCUGUCGGAGGACUAGCACAUCCAUCUGUUGUGCUCUGGAAAAAAAAAAGGCCUGACAUCUCCUGACGUCAAAACCCCAAACCGACUGCUGUCGGUUGCCGGAUUGAUUUGCCGACUGCUUCAGAGGCACAAGCGUGAUGCUGGAACACGUGCCGACGUCCCCCGAGAGAGUUUGCAUUCCUCUGAGUGGUUACUGCACAUCAGCUCCGUCAGUCUGAUUUACAUUACAAAUUAAUAAUCAUCUGAUCAAGUGGCUGGAGAGCAACGCACCAUCAUCCCCACUGUUCUACGCAGCAACAGAGACAAGAGGACUCGUCGAAGUGCGUCUGCAUAGAGCUGCAGGGCGGUGACUCAAACUUCUUACUGGGCACCAGCAUGAGUCUAAACCAUCCCAGAGUGCAUCACAUUUGAGGUCUCUGACAGUCUCCGAGAUGCUGUCAGGCUUCCCCCGGAACAUCAUCCUGGUGCAAAACAAGAUUUGAGGGUGUUUGACGCCACAGAAGGAUGCCUUUUGUCAGACGCGCCCCUCUUGGAAGCUGGUUUCAGAUGGUGGCUUAGAGUAUUGUCAUCUAUCUAGCACCAUUUGAAAUCAGUGUUCUUGGGGUGGGAAGUGUUUUCACUGGCCAGCAACAGGCAGCUGUGAAGUGUCACGAGAGGAGUCUGGAGAUAAAGGUAUCACUCCCUGAAGCACGACUCACCGAGCUACUAACCACCGGUCUGCACUGACGUUCUGACAGCUCAAGCUCUUUGUCCUCUCUCCAAGGUUGACCGAUUUCUUUUGGUGUUCAGAGUCUGCUUUUGUUUCUAGCACCAUUUGAAAUCGGUUACAGUGAAGGACAGAUCUCAUCUCAUCUUGAGGAGGAUUUUGCAAGUAAGCUGCGCUGUUUAUUUUACAGACUGCAGAUCGACUGUGGUGAAAUUACAAGUGACUGUGUUAAAUUAUGAAUUAAACAUUAAUUAUUCUUAUCCUGGAUCUGGAUGUUUGCAAUCGAGGAAGAAGUAUUCAGAUCUUUCACGCAAAUUACGUUUAUUUAAAAUGACUUUUUGACAAGACAGAUUUCUUGUAUAAUCGAACGUACUUGGUAAUAAAAACCAUUCAGAUUCUAAAAGUCACAGUACCACCCUGUAAAAAUACUCUAUACGUUGUAAGUGAAAUUUCUGCAUUUUGCUUGAGUGUUAUUAUUACUAAAAUAUGUAUGUAUGUUCUAUUUAAAACUAUAAUCACACAUAAUAAAAUGUGAUGAAAGUAUGAAGCAAUGCAUGGAAAUAGGCAAGUACAAGUAGCUUAAAACUGUUCUUAUUUACAGUACUAGAGUAGAUGUACUUGUGACAUUUCACCACUGGAUGUUUGUCUGCCAUAUUGAUCAAAGGUGUAUUUGAACAAUUUCGAGUCAAAUCCACAAGGUGGCACUGUGAUAUUAAAUAUUAGAGGAGUCCUUUUUUAUUAGUCUCUGCACCUACAGCUGAUAUUAGCUAUAGACAAGAGACCAGGUGCCCACAUGCAGCACUUUUAGAGACUCUGAUCUAUACUAUGACAUUUUUAGGAUUUUUUAUGGCACAUCAUACUAUGACUUUGAUAUGACACACUGCACUGUGCACUGUUGCCUCACAGUAAGAGGGUUCUUGGUUCGAACCAGGGGUGGGGGAGCCCUUCUGUGUGGAGUUGGCAUGCUCUCCCCUGUGUCAGAGUGGGUUUUCUCCAGGUACUCCAGCUUCCUCCCACAGUCCAAAGACAUGCAGGUUAAUUGAUAACUCUAAAUUGUCCAUAGGUGUGAAUGUGAGUGUGAAUGGUUGUCUGUCUCUAUGUGUCAGCCCUGUGAUAGUCUGGCGACCUGUCCAGGGUGUACCCUGCCUCUCGCCCAAUGUCAGCUGGAAUAGGCUUCAGCACACCCGUGACCCCUAACAAGAAAAGCGAGUAUGACAUACUAUACUUUGACAUUUGUUUAUGACACACUGUACUAUGUCUGUAUUUUAAAACAUAUGGAAUAAUACACUAUGGCUUUUUUACAUGAUUAUUUUCCUGAAAUACUAAACUAUAACUUUUAUUUUAAUUUUUCAUUACAUGCUAUCCUACCGUACAGUGGGUUUUUUUAUGAUUCUGGAUGACAUACUAUAUUUUUCUUUUCUUUCUUUUUUUUUUUAUAGUGUUCUUACGACAUAAUAUACCAGGGCAUUGUUGUGUUUUUUUUUUUUUUACAACAUACUUUACUAUGACUAUGUUUUUUAUAUUUUUAUUUGACACACUACACGAUUUUUGACGACAUACUAUACUAUGACUUUUUUACACGAUUUUGAACGACAUACUAUACUAUGACUUUUUUACAUGAUUUUGGACGACAUGCUAUACCAUGA